RNAcentral lists this small RNA (76 nucleotides) under Xanthomonas oryzae. Its description in RNAcentral is "sX9". It matches the Rfam family "Xanthomonas sRNA sX9". The record is from RNAcentral. RNAcentral also lists the same sequence under 1 other name. Lineage: Bacteria; Pseudomonadati; Pseudomonadota; Gammaproteobacteria; Lysobacterales; Lysobacteraceae.
AUGUACCACGCGUCCACUGCGGUUGUGAGCGCGCCGUCCGCGCCUCCUGACAGCUGCUCGCUAUGUCUUGUUAGCC